UACGGGGGGGGCAAGCGUUGUUCGGAAUUACUGGGCGUAAAGGGUUUGUAGGUGGUCGGCUAAGUCAGACGUGAAAUCCCUCAGCUUAACUGGGGAACUGCGUCUGAAACUGAUCGGCUCGAGUGCAGGAGAGGAACGCGGAAUUCCAGGUGUAGCGGUGAAAUGCGUAGAUAUCUGGAGGAACACCGGUGGCGAAGGCGGCGUUCUGGACUGCAACUGACACUGUAAAACGAAAGCCAGGGGAGCAAACGGG
This 253-nucleotide ribosomal RNA is filed under the name uncultured bacterium. RNAcentral's name for it is "partial 16S ribosomal RNA". It matches the Rfam family "Bacterial small subunit ribosomal RNA", at positions 524 to 776 of the family's 1533-position model. The record is from RNAcentral.